Molecule: long non-coding RNA, 161 nt
Organism: Chelonia mydas (Green sea turtle)
Lineage: Eukaryota; Metazoa; Chordata; Testudines; Cheloniidae
Exons: 4
Source: RefSeq, a predicted model, not a curated record
GACUGGAGUUGAGACUUGUGCCCUUCUAAUCAGGGCUCAAAUUUCACUAUAUAAAUUGGUGUCCAAAAGGAAGUUCUUUGGGAACUAGCUGCAGGACACAGCUCCAAGAUCAGAGCUGCCUGACCUCAACACUCUGCCAGUGACACCAUGCAGAAACUGGA